AGCGAACGCUGGCGGCAGGCUUAACACAUGCAAGUCGAGCGGGCACUUCGGUGUCAGCGGCAGACGGGUGAGUAACACGUGGGAACGUACCCUUCGGUUCGGAAUAACGCUGGGAAACUAGCGCUAAUACCGGAUACGCCCUUUUGGGGAAAGGUUUACUGCCGAAGGAUCGGCCCGCGUCUGAUUAGCUAGUUGGUGGGGUAAUGGCCUACCAAGGCGACGAUCCGUAGCUGGUCUGAGAGGAUGAUCAGCCACACUGGGACUGAGACACGGCCCAGACUCCUACGGGAGGCAGCAGUGGGGAAUAUUGGACAAUGGGCGAAAGCCUGAUCCAGCCAUGCCGCGUGAGUGAUGAAGGCCUUAGGGUUGUAAAGCUCUUUUGUCCGGGACGAUAAUGACGGUACCGGAAGAAUAAGCCCCGGCUAACUUCGUG
This 433-nucleotide ribosomal RNA is filed under the name uncultured bacterium. RNAcentral's name for it is "partial 16S ribosomal RNA". It matches the Rfam family "Bacterial small subunit ribosomal RNA", at positions 29 to 507 of the family's 1533-position model. The record is from RNAcentral.